Molecule: long non-coding RNA, 11327 nt
Organism: Ctenopharyngodon idella (grass carp)
Lineage: Eukaryota; Metazoa; Chordata; Actinopteri; Cypriniformes; Xenocyprididae
Exons: 3
Source: RefSeq, a predicted model, not a curated record
AUUUAUAUUGUUCAUACUAUUUAAUUAAAUUAUUUUAUUAAACUCAUAAAUUUAUAUUUAUUUUUUAUUUGAAAGAAUUUGCCUUUUUAAAAAUUAAACGCAUGUAUGAAAAAAUAAAUCAAAAAGAGGAUUUAUGUAUUUAUGAUAUGGCAAAUGAUUUGUUUAUUGAGCAUUUAUCAGUAUGACUGUAGUUUUUCUAAGUGUUUGAACAGGAUUGACAUUUCAACAGCGUUUAAUGAUCCUCUUCUGUCAAGAGAGUUUAGUGCGCUCCUGAUUUACAGCCUGUAAGAAACUUCUUUUUUUUUUUUUUUUAAAAAGUGACAUACUCUGUAAUCAUUUGCGUCAGAUGUUUGCAAACAACCUCAUGUUUAACCCCUGUGUAUUUCUCGAGAGAAACAAAACCUGUAAGAUUGAGCCACAGGUGAGAUCUACCGCACCAAACGGCACAAUCGAGAUGUUUGUCAGGGUUUAAUUGCUGUGCAAUUCCUUAAGAAGAAGUUGCUCGACAGGUAGCGCCACAUUUGAUGCAAAAGCUGCCCAUCAGGUUUGAUGUAAAAUGGCAACCCUUUCCUCCGCAUGACCGAGCACGCUUCGAGUCGCACCGAUGCUACAGCAGCGACCGCAGAAGAUGAUGACUCAGAUGGGAAACCAAUCACUAGGUCUAGUGUUCAAGUCCCGACUUGACGGUACGGCCUGCAGGCUACCAUGUGGCUUUUUUUCAAACUGUCUACAUCAUGCCUGAGCGCAGGAUGAAGGCACUUCCUGUGAAUGACUGUGUCGCUGCGGUGAUGCGGCAGCAGAUGGUGGGAGUGGGUCUUUGUAACCAGGACAGCCACUGCCCCACUUUCUCAUGUUCUGUGUGUGUGUGUGUGUGUGUGUGUGUGUGUGUGUGUGUGUGAGGCAUGUGAAGCAUGUAAGGAGUGUCGUGAAGUCGAUCGUCUCCUCCGGGGCCAGGGCAGGUCGCGCUGCUGUUUCUAUCCCGCAUGUGGAGAUGUUGAUCUUUCUCUGUCUGGAUUUAAUCACCGAUGACAUCCUGAGAUUUUAUGUUUUACCCAGAAUCCUAAGAAUGUGUCAGAGGAAUACUUGAUUUACUCAUCAUCAUGCUUGUUCCAAACCCUUAUGACUUUCUUUUUAAAGUGGAACACGAAAGAAGAAGUUCAAUGAAAGUAGACUGCGCUCUAAAAAAAUACCGGGUUAAAAAUAACCCAAGUUGGGUAAAAGAUGGACACACCCAGCGAAUGGGUUGUUUUAACCCAGCAGUUGGGUUAAAUGUUUGGCCCAACCUGCUGGGUAGUUUUAUUUAACUCAACUAUUGUUUAAAAAUUACUAUUGCUCACUUAAAAUGAACCCAAAAUAUGUUGGAAGUUUACAUUUAUUACUGUUUAAUAAAUAAUAAACAUUUAUUGAAUUGCUUAUUAAUAAAUGUUCAUCUUUUGAUUAUUAUUGUUGCCUCUAGUAAUUAUGUGUCUGAUUUUUAGUUUCCAACAUAAUUUGGGUUCAUUUUAAGCCAGACAUACAAUAAUUUUUAAACAACAUAGUGGAGUUAAAUAAAACUACCAGCAGGUUGGGCAAACAUUUAACCCAAGACACUGGGGUUGUCCAUUUUUAACCCAACUUGGGUUGUUUUUAACCCAGCAUUGUUUAGAGUGUAUGACCAAUGGCUGUCAAACUCUAAAAAGCACCAUAUGCUGUUUGGUCAUGUCAAAACAACAAAAAAUAUACCAUAAAAGUUCAGUGGUGGACAAAGUAAUCCAAUCAAGUGCUUGAGUUAAUGUUAAAGUGCCUCUAUUAACUUUUUGGAUAUGUAGUGUGUAAUAUAGCUGUUUGUGAAUCUAAAAAGUCUGCAAAGUUUGGAGUUAUUGUCUAUGGUAAAACACAGUACUUGCAGUAAAUCAAGAAAAUGAGAUUUAAUCAGUAAAGCUUACUGUGCAAUGUCAUUGUAUAGAAAUGAGCAGCUUGGACAUUCUGCCAAACUUCUCCUUUUGUGUUCCACGAAAGAAACUAAGUCAGGAUUUGGAGCGACAUGAGGGUGAUUAAAUGAUGACGACAAUUGUAUUUUAUUUAUUUUAAAGGUGAUAAAUAUUAUGGAAGUCUGACUUUUUCCAUGUUUAAUGCUAUAAUCGGGUUCCUAAUGCAUCUACCAACCCAGAAAACAUGAAACAGGACAACCCAAUAACUUUGUUUUGGUCAGCCUUUCUCUGCAAGCAUGUGAAAAAAUGAGCCACUCAGAUUUCGCUCCCUUUGUGAUGUAGGAAGGGGAUCUUAUUAUAAUAUUACCACCCUUUAAUCUGUAUGUUUCCACCGACGGCGCCGCCAUUUUGUUUUUCGCAAGCAAAAACGGUCUAACACCAUGGCAAAAGUUUGAGCAAAGCAUGCUAACUGUUCUGUCAUUGGCUGCACAGACGAGCACUGAACAGUAUUUAGAGUCUCGUUAGCUUGGAUAGUCUGCAAGUUGACCCUGGCAAGCUCGAUUGCUAAAAAAAAGGAGCGUUUCUGUCCGAGCGAUAUUUUGGAAAACAAUAUUAGACCAUUCACAGCAUUUGAUAGCAAUCAUAAACGUUAGCCUGGUGUGUAUGACUCUGUUCCACAGGUACGCUAUGUAUAAUGGGCGUCCAUAUGGGUUUUGCACAAAAGAUUAACAUGACGCACAUGCUAGUGUAUGAGUUGAAUCAACUCCACAGCAACUACAUAAAUUUAUCCACUAACCAUUCAGAAACGUCUAAAAGUUGUAACUUCUUCCUGAGUCUCUCCAUCAGUGUCGACUCCGGUUUGAAUAAUGUAAGGCUGAACACCGUUACUGACAAUCCUCAUUUUGGCUGCGUGAGAUUCUCCAGCUUUGUUGUUGUUGAGCUGUUAAAGCUCCGCCCUCUUCUGGAAAGGGAGCAGCAGCUCAUUUGCAUUUAAAGGGACACACACAAAAACGGCGUGUUUUUGCCAGUAUUUUGUGCUGAAACUUCAGACACAUUCUGGGGACACCAGAGACUUAUAUUACAUCUUGUGAAAAGGGGCAUUAUAGGUCUCCUUUAACUGUUCCUUUGAGACACUUACUUUUAUGGAAACACAAGUUGCAUUGUUUUAUGCAUGCAUUAUAGUAAAAUCUCUGGUGUUUCAUGUUUUGUAUAAUGUUUUUAAAAUACCCCAGAGCCCAAUUUGCAUUUUUGGCCAGCAACUGUUCCUCUUUUGGAAUGCAAGACGGCUGCUGCUGUAACCUCUCUGGACAGGUUGACUUCUGACAAGGAUGCAUUAAUGAACACAAGCCACCUGGCUUAGCGAGAGGACACAAACCAACAGAAAACGCUCUUGAACAGGUGGUGGACCACCACUGCUAUGUGCACAAAUAUGAACUUGAGACACGUGUUGUUAAGUAUAGUGAAGCAAGUGCUCUGGUACUAAAAUGUAUUGAUGUUUCCAGCAGUCGUUUUUACUUUUUUCCAUCUCCUGGCUGGUUUUUAGGUUCCCCCGCUCUUAUUAAGCUUGGCCAGCUCAAUGGCACUUGUUAGCAGUCUCUCAGCGUUUUGCCCUCCAUGACUCAAGCACCGUCUUCACCAAACCAAGUGCACUGCAGACUAGGGUUUUCCAUAUAAUAGGACGAGUGUGAAGAUUGCUGCCCACUGUUCCAGCAUGGCUUCUCUGUGGAGGAUGUUGGUAUUGUGUUCAGAACAAUAAGUCUGAUUUUAUUGUGAUAUAAAAGGCCUACAGCAGAACUUGUGAAAAGACAGUUAUUAUUAAAGGGAUAGUUCACCCAAAAAUGAAAAUGAUCCCAUGAUUUACUCACCCUCAAGCCAUCCUAGGUGUAUAUGACUAUCUUCUUUCAGACGAACACAAUCGGAGAUGUAUUUAAAAAUCUCCUGACGCUUUCAAGCUUUAUAAUGGUAGUGAAUGGUUUUUGAAGCCAAAAUAAUGCAUCCAUCCAUCAUAAAAGCAAUCCAUAAGAGAAGAGGAGCUUGAGUUUGUUGCCCAGCCUUAUUUGUUUGAACCGCGAGAGGCGUCUAAGCUUACGAUACUCCUACAUCCUACGUCUUACAUCACGUCACGGGUCGACUUGCGCAGUAUGUGUACAGUCAUCUGCCGGAAGCUAGUCAUUUUAAUUUUAAAGUUUUAAAUAUGGAUAUUUUUCUUACAAAAACCCAUCGCUUCACUUCAGAAGGUCUUUAUUAACCCCCUGGAGUUGUAUGGAUUAGCUAUUUUUUUGAUGGAUGGAUGCAUUAUUUUGGGCUUCAAAAUCGCACCUGCCGUUCACUACCAUUAUAAAGCUUGGGAGAGCCAGGAUAUUUUUAAAUACAUCUCCGAUUGUGUUUGUCUGAAAGAAGAUAGUCAUAUACACCUAGGAUGGCUUGAGGUGAGUAAAUUUUCAUUUUUUUGGUGAACUAUCCCUUUAAGAGAGACACUGAAAAAUGAAGCACUAGAUAUUAGCGCUGCCCUCAACCCAAAAAUUUUCUAGUCGACUAGUAGUCGUUCAUUUUAAGCUAUUAGUUGACUAAUCGCACAUGUAUAUUAAUAAGCCAUAUAAAUCAUAAUAAUGAGCCUUUAAUUGCCUAUAUAUAAUACAUAGCCUAAUCAUAAAGUUGGCACAGCGCACUGGUAAAAGUAACGACUAUGAAUGUGUCGUGAAAAACGGCAAGGAAACUAAAUAUUAGAUAUAUUUUUCAUGUCUGUGAGGAAAGUAUACACUGAGUUUUGGUUUAUUUAUUUUUAUGACGUGCUCAAGUUCACAGAGAUCGAGUUUUACAAGAGUUUUACAAAGGCGCGACGUUUUUUUGUUAUUUUGAGUUUACACAAAGUUUUGAAUGAUGUAUUAUUCUUAUCUGUAUGACCAAAAUGACAGAGUUUAAGUUGUUCCUGCUGUUUUCAGGAAAAAUUACAAGUGAUCGCGCCAGCGCCUCUUGCAGUAAGCGCGAUAUACUUCAGCUUCCACACUCCGCACAAACACGUGGAUAUGCGCCUAAUAUUAACGCACAUUUAUCUAGGUUAACGUUAACAAUAGAGAGAGCGGCCAUAUAAAGUGGCUAACAUUAGGCUACUACUUACAUGUUUGAGGUCACGUCACCUUUUUUGAGGUCAUUCUUGACCUUAUCGAAAUGUUCCCACACUUUGGAUUUUCUUCCCGGACCAGCAUUGUUAGUGAUCUGUCACAUGUGUGACUUCGCCAAUUUCUGGAGGUUUUUUUUUUCUGUGACUAACUGACUGAUUACAAUUUAGUUGACCAAGCCUCUUUUUGUCGACAAACGUUUAGUCGACUAUCAGGGGGCAGCCCUAGUAAAAACCAUAAACUAUACUUUGGGCUUAUAUUAAGGGCUGUGACGAUAAUCGCAUUACCACAUCACCGCGGUAAUGAGAUUCAUAAACAAUAUCUUAUCAAUUAAUUACGACGUUCACACCCGACGUUCUUGGUUUUCUUCCUAUUUAUUAAAUCCAGGAAAUUGGUUGAUAAAACACUGAUUAAAAUCAAAAUACAAUUUAUACAAAACGAAAUUCACUUUAAAGAAAGGCUUUCUACAAAAAAAAACUUAAUGAAGUGGUCAAAAUCAUGUCUGACCCACUGCAUGUCUCCCGACAUAUUGCGCAUCUUAUUAGCCUAUCUUAGUCAUGCUGUUCACUUUUCAUAAUCAACAUAAAUAAAAUUUUAAAUCUAAUAUUAGGCUAUAGUCUAAUAUUUAAACAUAAAUAUGAAACUAAAUAGGCUAUGCUUUUUUUAACCCUCUGACCAACGAACGCGCCGGCGCGGUCUGAUGGAUUUUUCUUCAUGACAGCUGAAACAACUUAAAAUAGGCCUACUCCGUCAUUUUUGGCGAUACAGAUUAGUGCAAGACAUCAUCACAAACUACAAAUGGUCUACUUUUAUUUGUGUACUCUCACAAUAAAAAGAAAAACCUUCUGCUUUUGUAAAAUAAUGAAAAAAAAUCUUUCUGAAACGUCUCAAAAAUGAACUGAAACUCAGCGACUAAUUCACAGAAACAUGAAACAUACGUCUAAAGAGAGCUUGAAAUGUCUACUUUUAAAUUAAACAAUUCACAUUUAAAACAAAUAUUCUCCUGCAGUGUUAUCUGUAUGAAACUAAAGAGAUGCACAACAUGUUGCGAAUGUUAACCCGCCAAACCGCGGGAUUCAUUGCUUCAUCACUGCGGUAAGAAAAAAAACCCAUACCGUCACAGCCCUAAGUAGCAAAAACUAGUAAUAAAAUAAAAAAAAAAUAAAAAAAACUUUUUUACGUAAGUGUUCAACCACUGAAGCAUGACCAAUCAGCUUGCAGAAUAGAUAGUGACCUGGAUUCAUGCUUGACCUUAUUGGCCGAUGUGGUUUUUAAAUCAUUUCCUUUGAGAAGGACCUCAGUGCCAGUGCUGUGAGAACAUUCAAAUUUCUCAUUCUCAUAGAUAAAAGUUGUAAAAUACUUCUGAACCAGACUGAGGUUAUGUGUGUUUUAGCUCUUCUAAUCUAGCUGUUUGUCCUGUGGCCUUCAUAGGUGCGGCUUGUUUCUCUGUGGAUGAGUCAGUGAGUCUGGAUAAGGGUGGUGCCAUCCAGGGCAGAUUGCUGUAUCAUGGGCUCUGUCCUUCUCAGCCUGGGCUUUUCUUUUGCCGGGCUUCGAUGACUAUUUUUAAUACCGAUUUGAUAACUUCCUCAACAUAUUUUUAAUUGUAUGGCCACUGUGGCCAGACCACCGAUAACUUUGACUGUUUUACAUUGCACAAACAUGAAGUACCAUAAACUUGCUUCCUUUUGAGACAGACAACACUGAAAGGAAUGAUUAUAUACACACACACACACACACACACACACACACAGGGCUUGACAUUAGCUUUUUUGCUCACCAGCCACAGUGGCUAGUGGUUUUCCAAAGUUACUAACCACUCAGCAUAUUCACUGGCCACAAUAUUGACAUCAAUACCAUGGGGAAAAAAACUGCCACAUAGAUAUUUUUAAUAUUAUCUCAUAAUUUGGCAGCAGCUUUAUUAGGAUUCUGUGGAUUUUGGAAAAUAAUCUAAUUGCGAUUAUUUUUACCAAUAUUGCGAUUGCGAUCAUUUUAUCUUCUGUAUUAUUCAACAAAGACAAGCAAUAAAUCAUUGUUAGGGUGGAAAUCUUUAGGCACCUCACGAUCCGAUUCCGAUUCUGGGAGUCACAGUCCGAUUCCAAAACUAUUCUUGAUCUUUUUCUCUUAUUGAUUAGUCUUAUUAAUAAAACUUUUUUUUUUAUUAUUUAAUUACAUAUGUAAAAAUAAGUACUUUUUUAAAAUAAUUACACAAUAAAAAUUAAUUAAAACAAUUGCAUGUUAAUAAUUUUAAAUAAACUAAUAUAAGACAGGGCUUAAAUUAAGCCAGGAUUAGGCCUUAGAAAAAAACAUUACUGCUGUGCAUCUUGAGACAAAACAAUGGCACUGACAUAUUUUAAGACAUGUCAGUGCAAGUUGUUUUUAGUUAAGACAGCUCAAACAUUUAUUUUAGUCUGGGACUAGCUUAAGCCUUGUCUGUGAAAAGCUAGUAAAUAAAAAAGGGGGGAAAAAACCUAUUACAAGCAAUAAAUAAAGAGUGAUUUCAGUAUUUAAGAGUAUCUGAACAUUUUCUUUUCAAGAGCUGUGAUUUUUCUCUCAGCUUUACUGUUGUUGAUUAUUAUGAUGAAAUCACAGAGAGCGGGAGAUCUAAUAAGCUGCAUUCACACUAAUGCACAGAUCUCUUUUGAAAUAUAAGAUGUGGUUUUCCUGUCUGUUUGAUCCCUGAAGACAUAACUGACUGUGUUGACAUUAAUUUUGCGUCAUAAAAGCAUUUUGAGAUGCAAGUACAACCACUUUAACAGAGUCGCGCACAGCCGCAUAACCAGCACACUUCACAAAGCGCGUCAGCAUUUGAAAUUGACAUAACGACAUAACUGAGGCAGCGUUCGUAGAGCAUUUGUAAGGAAAAUACCGGCGGGCGAGACGACACGGUGCAUCCUGUGCAAUGAAGCGCGCGAAUGUCCUUGUAAUUGGCUUCAACCUUUCCGAACUUUAUUAAAGAUUGUUUUGUGGAUGGUUCGAGUGGUGUGUGAGUGUGAGUGUGAGAGAGAGAGAGAGAGAGAGAGCAAUUGGACGUAAGCAGAAUAAGUUUCUAAAGCACACGCAGCACCAUCGCGCAUCUUUGUUAUAAACUAAGCUCAUAAUCAAUCUAGAAUCGUUAGAGUACGAACAACACAAUAUUAGAUAGAUUAAACAUAAACUGUGCUUUCCUGUAGGCAUGUCAUAAGCGUAGCGUGCCAAGUUGAUGCUUCCUCUGCAGACUGCUUUACUCUCGCAUCACGUGACGAGUGUGUAAUCGCAGCCUUUGCGGUUAAAAAAUUGUGUUUUGUCAUAUCGCAAUAUUAUCGCAAAUGCGAUUAAUCGUUCAGCCCUACUGCUGUCACUUUAAGACCUGACGCACGGAUCCAUUAUACUGUUACACAUGCGUUUUCUUUCUCAACUGUUUUGUUCACUUCAAACAUAACUGACUGUGUUUGUGAAUACUCACCAAGACCAGCAUUUUGACAUUAUUUUGUGUGUAUUUGACUGUUUAACUGCAAUAAGCAGCGAAAAAUAACUCAAUUUAGUACUGAGACGCGGCUUUAUGUGCGAAAACUUUGAGCAGAAAAUCUGCGGGAAUGAGUAAAAUUAUGUGCAAUAUGAGCAAUCCCACGCCAAAAUUCAAGCCCUGUAACAACAACAUUUAUCCGGAGCAAAUGAAACGAGUGAGGGGAGGAGGGUUUGUGUGUCGACUCGCUCUCAGAGAGAUGAGAGAGAGAGAGAGAGAGCAGCUGAUAUCGUGUCUAUUCUGCGGAAAAUGAGUAUUGGAAGCGUUUCAGAUGUUUCAGUAUCGAUAUGUAUAAAAAAAAUCAACAUUACACUGCACUUAAUUUAUCAUUUCAGAUGCCUUUUUUAAAGACUACAAUUAAAAAAAUGUAUAUAUUAUAAAAUUCAACUCACAAAGUGGCUAGUAGGAGUGACUAUCGAAAUCGCAUCCAAGUUAAAAGUUUGUUUACAUAAUAUGUGUGUGUACUGUGUAUAUUUAAUAUGUGUAUAUAAAUACACACACACGUAUGUAUACAUUUAAGAAAAAUAUUAGACUAAAAAUAUUAGAAUUUAAUUUUUCAGUUUAAUGCGUUAAAAAUAUUUAACGCAGCAUCCGUUUUUUUCCGUCACAAUUUGGCUAGCGUUAUAUUAUAUGAUCGUGCUCUUAUUCAUGCAAAUGAUUUUAAACCAUUCAAGAGCCACAAGACAAACGAGUCAUGUGACACACGACUCGUGUGCACAGAAAGAUGCGUUCUCUUUCACGCUUGAACAAACAAUAACACAGAAUUAUGCCAAAAUGCCCGUUUUGUCGAGUAUCCUCAUACACAGCAGUCUUAAAUGAAUUAAAUAACAUCUUAAAUUAACUUAAUGAGAUGCGCGUCAUGUUCGGCAGUGGCAGCUCUUAAAGUGACAGCAGCCUAAUAAACCAGUUCCUGUGAUGUCUGUCAUUAAUGUUCAUCAAAGAACAAAGAUAACAGAAAAUUUUAGCUUUAUUAAGGAUUAAUCUAUAUUUCGUUUAUAAUUUAUGCAGUGAACACUGUAAAGUGUUUAAUAACUUUAUUCAAUUUCUGUAUAUGUCCUAUCUGUUAGACAGGUAAAUAUGACAUUUAUUAUAAUGGGCAUAUGUGAAGAUUGUUUUAAGUUCACUUAAAUUCAAAAGUUGUUGUUUUUUAAAGCCUAAUAAAUGUUGAAAAUGAGAGCUUUCAGUUAUACUGUAAUGUUGAAUGUCUAUAAUUAAUGUUUUUAAAAGAGAGACAUCGGUACCAGUAUUAGUAUCAGUGAUACCGGACUUCAUUCAUAAAAAGAUGCCAUUAAACAAAUAUUUAAAAUAUACUGUCUUUAAGUUGUUUCUACAUUAAUUGGGAGAGUAACUGUGAAAUUAUUACAAUAUAAAAAUCAUCAAUGUUUUCAAUUGCUAUAAACACAUGGAGUCUCACCACUCUGGUCUGAUGCAAUGAUAUAUGAAUUGAAAUGUAUUGAUUUAAGCGGCCUACUACUUUUUGGGGCUACUGUAUUCUUAAAUUGUGCCUGAAUGUCAUUGAGGGUCGCCAUGGAAAUGGACACAAUAACCCCGCAGAUGUCUCUGUUUACAGAAUCAAGGUCAGAGGCUAGUGCAGUUAUCAUGGGAGAGACAAGACUUUACCACCGCUAGCUCAGCUCCGGCUAACAUAUGUCCUGGAAAGUGGCGUUAGCAUUGCUCAUGCCAGUACCUAGAUUACGCCACAAGACCAUAAUCCUUUUCUCGCUGGCAUCCUCUAGCAAAGCCACAUCAGUAAAUCCUACAAAUACUCAUUAUUUUUCCUGGAGGAGAUCCUCAGCUGUCCCUUCACCCAGGCAGUGUUGCGAAGCAGCAUGCGCUUGGGUGGGAAACGCUCUAAAAUGCCCCUUCCUGUGAUCAGACACGGCGAUUACAGUGGCUAUAACAGAUUAAAGAGCCAUCAGAGGCCUGUAAUUACAACCCUGCUUCUUUGGCCUUGACUUCCAUCUGUUCUUUUGCUUGAAAGAAUUGACACGAAGGACACACACUUUGAACUCUUUAGAAGGCUAUGAAUAAAAUGUUUUUUUUUUUUCCCUCUAAGUAAAAGCCUGUCAAAUCAAAUAUGAUAUAAAAACUCUGUCCAUCCUUUUGUCUGUAGGUCCAAUAAACGGCUCCAUCCAUCCUUUUGUCUGUUGGUCCAAUAAACGGCUCCAUCCUUUUGUCUGUAGGUCCAAUAUACAGUUCCAUCCUUUUGUCUGUAGGUCCAAUAAAUUGUUCCAACCAUCCUUUUGUCUGUAGGUCCAAUAAAGGGCUCCAUCCAUCCUUUUGUCUGUAGGUCCAAUAAAGGGCUCCAUCCAUCCUUUUGUCUGUAGGUCCAAUAAAGGGCUCCAUCCAUCCUAUUGUCUGUAGGUCCAAUAAAGGGCUCCAUCCAUCCUUUUGUCUGUAGGUCCAAUAAAGGGCUCCAUCCAUCCUUUUGUCUGUAGGUCCAAUAAAGGGCUCCAUCCAUCCUUUUGUCUGUAGGUCCAAUAAAGGGCUCCAUCCAUCCUAUUGUCUGUAGGUCCAAUAAAGGGCUCCAUCCAUCCUUUUGUCUGUAGGUCCAAUAAAGGGCUCCAUCCAUCCUAUUGUCUGUAGGUCCAAUAAAGGGCUCCAUCCAUCCUUUUGUCUGUAGGUCCAAUAAAGGGCUCCAUCCAUCCUUUUGUCUGUAGGUCCAAUAAAGGGCUCCAUCCAUCCUAUUGUCUGUAGGUCCAAUAAAGGGCUCCAUCCAUCCUUUUGUCUGUAGGUCCAAUAAACUGUUCCAUCCUUUUGUCUGUAGGUUAAAUAAACAGUUCUGUUUAAAAAAAA